Non-coding RNA from Chiloscyllium plagiosum (whitespotted bambooshark), 1083 nucleotides. The record is from RefSeq and is a predicted model, not a curated record. Lineage: Eukaryota; Metazoa; Chordata; Chondrichthyes; Orectolobiformes; Hemiscylliidae.
GUUCUGGGCUGUUUUUAUUACACACCUCUUGAGCAGAUGGCACUUGAACUUGCACCUUCAAGGUCAGAGUUUCUUGUUCCUUCUAGACUAGGUGUUCCUGGUAAAUGCUUUUCUCGAGUAGCUGUAAUGAAAAGACACAAGGGUGCGAAUGUGGGACAAAAAAAGGACCAUUAAAACAUGCAUCCCAAGGAGCACCUGACUUGUCUUGUGGAUUCAACUGCAAUUGGACCCUUAAAAAUCCCAAGUGAUAAUUGGAAUUUAAUGAACAUUUCCAUGAGCAGUGAACAGAAACUCAUUGAUAAUGGCUUCCUUGGAGGUGAGAAUAGCUCUUUCUUAUCUCACCAAACCUGGGAGAAUGGAAGCCAGUCAAGUUAUUAACUGACACUGUUAAAGUUAAUUACCUUGGCUAAGAACCAAUGGAUGGGAUUAUGUUCCAGGCCUUGGCUAACACAAUACCUAAUAUGGAAGCAUGACUUGACAAUUUGGGAAAGCAGCCAUCUGAUUUUUGAACAGUAUAAAAUGUCAAUCCGAGUACAACGAUUUAUGCUGAGUUCUCAGGAGAACUUGUGAAGACAGUUCCAGCCGCUGCUCUCACAGAACCAACUAUGAACAGCAUGUGAGAAAAGAGUUUUCUCUCUCACCCACAAGGCUCAGAGGAAAGUGUCCAGAUAUAUUGCUUCCUUUACUAAAAAUGAAUCCAAGCAGUUUAAGUGUUGUGCCAGCAAAAUCAGUAAAGAGAAAAGGACCUGAAAUCUCUCUGCAUACCAAGCCUGGUUAAUUUACCAGGAAGUCUUCACAACUGCUAAACACGUCUCUUCAACUCUGCACUCCAGGCAGCCAACACUUCAACAGUCAGCUUUUUGUCUGCAACAAGACUCUGAAGAACUGAACUGAGUUUCAUCUUUCUAAGUAUCUUUUAAACUUGACUGUAUUUUAUCCUUGAUGUCCAUAUUUAGCUACUAAUUUUAAUCUUUUCACUCAGCGAUUUGUAAUAAAAUCAUCUUUAUCAUAGUUAAGACAAAAACUUCACUUGUUUUUAAGUUGAAUCUCUCAUAAGCUAAAAGGGACCCAGGCAAACACAAA